This 440-nucleotide ribosomal RNA is filed under the name uncultured bacterium. RNAcentral's name for it is "partial 16S ribosomal RNA". It matches the Rfam family "Bacterial small subunit ribosomal RNA", at positions 338 to 795 of the family's 1533-position model. The record is from RNAcentral.
CCUACGGGAGGCAGCAGUAGGGAAUAUUGCUCAAUGGGGGAAACCCUGAAGCAGCAACGCCGCGUGGAGGAUGAAGGUUUUCGGAUUGGAAACUUCUUUUGUUAGAGAAGAUAAUGACGGUAUCUAACGAAUAAGCAACGGCUAACUCCGUGCCAGCAGCCGCGGUAAUACGGAGGGUGCAAGCGUUACUCGGAAUCACUGGGCGUAAAGAGAGCGUAGACGGGAUAGCAAGUCAGAUGUGAAAUCCUAUGGCUUAACCAUAGAACUGCAUGUGAAACUGUUAUCCUUGAGUAUGGGAGAGGUAGGUGGAAUUCUUGGUGUAGCGGUAAAAUCCGUAGAGAUCAAGAGGAACACUCAUUGCGAAGGCGACCUGCUAGAACAUAACUGACGCUGAUGCUCGAAAGCGUGGGUAGCAAACAGGAUUAGAUACCCCGGUAGUC